RNAcentral lists this ribosomal RNA (443 nucleotides) under uncultured bacterium. RNAcentral describes it as "partial 16S ribosomal RNA". It matches the Rfam family "Bacterial small subunit ribosomal RNA", at positions 338 to 795 of the family's 1533-position model. The record is from RNAcentral.
CCUACGGGAGGCAGCAGUGGGGAAUAUUGGGCAAUGGGCGCAAGCCUGACCCAGCAACGCCGCGUGAAGGAAGAAGGCUCUCGGGUUGUAAACUUCUUUUAUCAGGGACGAAGCAAGUGACGGUACCUGAUGAAUAAGCCACGGCUAACUACGUGCCAGCAGCCGCUGUAAUACGUAGGUGGCAAGCCUUCUCCGGAUUUACUGGGUGUAAAGGGCGUGUAGGCGGGAAAGCAAGUCAGAUGUGAAAACCAUGGGCUCAACCUGUGGCCUGCAGUUGAAACUGUUUGUCUUGAGUACUGGAGAGGCAGACGGAAUGCCUAGUGUAGCGGUGAAAUGCGUAGAUAUUAGGAGGAACACCAGUGGCGAAGGCGGUCUGCUGGACAGCAACUGACGCUGAGGCGCGAAAGCGUGGGGAGCAAACAGGAUUAGAUACCCGGGUAGUC